Molecule: ribosomal RNA, 253 nt
Filed under: uncultured prokaryote
Description: partial 16S ribosomal RNA
Rfam family: Bacterial small subunit ribosomal RNA
Source: RNAcentral
ACGGGGGUGGCAAGCGUUGUUCGGAAUUACUGGGCGUAAAGGGCGCGUAGGCGGGGAGAUAAGUCGGGUGUGAAAUCCCUCGGCUCAACCGAGGAACUGCGCCCGAGACUGUCUUUCUUGAGUCCCGGAGAGGAAGGUGGAAUUCCCGGUGUAGCGGUGAAAUGUGUAGAGAUCGGGAGGAACACCGGUGGCGAAGGCGGCCUUCUGGACGGUGACUGACGCUGAGGCGCGAAAGCGUGGGGAGCAAACGGGA